Molecule: small nuclear RNA, 193 nt
Organism: Lagenorhynchus albirostris (white-beaked dolphin)
Lineage: Eukaryota; Metazoa; Chordata; Mammalia; Artiodactyla; Delphinidae
Product: U2 spliceosomal RNA
Exons: 1
Source: RefSeq, a predicted model, not a curated record
AUCGCUUCUCGGCCUUUUGGCUAAGAUCAAGUGUAGUUUUAAAAAAUUAUUUAUUUAUUUGGCUGAGCUGGGUCUUAGUGGUGGCAUGUGGGAUCUUUGUUGCGGUAUGAGGGAUCUUUAGUUGCAGCAGGCAUGCAGGAUCCAGUUCCCUGACCAGGGAUGGACCCCAGGUGCCCUGCCUUGGGAGCGAGGA